Molecule: non-coding RNA, 201 nt
Organism: Vicia faba (fava bean)
Lineage: Eukaryota; Viridiplantae; Streptophyta; Magnoliopsida; Fabales; Fabaceae
Source: the annotation of a GenBank genome assembly
AUGCCUUUUUUGUGUAAUGGAGUAAUCAUUCUCUUUGAGAAGUUAGUCUAUGGCCUUGUAAGGAUUAGAGCGUCUUCGGGGAUUAGAAGAGCUCAAGGAUUAGGCCUCUGUCGCGCAGCUUGUCCACAGAAGUCUCAGUUCAACAUCUUAAUGAACCAGGCCGUUAAGGAUGUUGAGGGGACCCGUGAAGGUUAUAUUUGA